UACGUCGUGUGCGAGCGUUAAUCGGAAUUACUGGGCGUAAAGCGUGCGCAGGCGGUUAUAUAAGACAGAUGUGAAAUCCCCGGGCUCAACCUGGGCACUGCAUUUGUGACUGUAUAGCUAGAGUACGGUAGAGGGGGAUGGAAUUCCGCGUGUAGCAGUGAAAUGCGUAGAUAUGCGGAGGAACACCGAUGGCGAAGGCAAUCCCCUGGACCUGUACUGACGCUCAUGCACGAAAGCGGGGGGAGCAAACAGGAGGAGAUAACCGGGUAGUCC
Molecule: ribosomal RNA, 273 nt
Filed under: uncultured bacterium
Lineage: Bacteria
Description: partial 16S ribosomal RNA
Rfam family: Bacterial small subunit ribosomal RNA
Source: RNAcentral